Molecule: ribosomal RNA, 208 nt
Filed under: uncultured bacterium
Lineage: Bacteria
Description: partial 16S ribosomal RNA
Rfam family: Bacterial small subunit ribosomal RNA
Source: RNAcentral
UUUCGCAGGCUGAUAGUUUAGUCUGAUCUUAAAGACCGCGGCUCAACUGCGGGAAUGGGUUGGAUACUGGCUAUCUAGAGGACAUCAGGGGAGACUGGAAUUCUCGGUGGAGGGGUGAAAUCCGUUGAUAUCGAGAGGAACGUCGAUGGCGAAGGCAAGUCUCUGGGGUGUUCCUGACGCUCAUGUACGAAAGCUUGGGUAGCAAACG